GAUGAACGCUGGCGGCGUGCCUAACACAUGCAAGUCGAACGAAGCACCUUACCUGAUUCUUCGGAUGAAAGUUUGGUGACUGAGUGGCGGACGGGUGAGUAACGCGUGGGUAACCUGCCCUGUACAGGGGGAUAACAGCUGGAAACGGCUGCUAAUACCGCAUAAGCGCACGAGGAGACAUCUCCUUGUGUGAAAAACUCCGGUGGUACAGGAUGGGCCCGCGUCUGAUUAGCUGGUUGGCAGGGUAACGGCCUACCAAGGCAACGAUCAGUAGCCGGUCUGAGAGGAUGAACGGCCACAUUGGAACUGAGACACGGUCCAAACUCCUACGGGAGGCAGCAGUGGGGAAUAUUGCACAAUGGGGGAAACCCUGAUGCAGCAACGCCGCGUGAGUGAAGAAGUAUUUCGGUAUGUAAAGCUCUAUCAGCAGGGAAGAUAAUGGCGGUACCUGACUAAGAAGCUCCGGCUAAAUACGUG
Molecule: ribosomal RNA, 477 nt
Filed under: uncultured bacterium
Lineage: Bacteria
Description: partial 16S ribosomal RNA
Rfam family: Bacterial small subunit ribosomal RNA
Source: RNAcentral